Molecule: non-coding RNA, 101 nt
Filed under: Corynebacterium afermentans
Lineage: Bacteria; Bacillati; Actinomycetota; Actinomycetes; Mycobacteriales; Corynebacteriaceae
Source: RNAcentral
CACACGGGUGCUACCGCGGAAAAUGCGGUGGCUGAGAUGCCGAAGCGCUUCGGCGAACCGUUGAACCUGAUCCGGGUAAUGCCGGCGAUAGGAAGGAAGAU